AAUUUAUCAAGAGUGGUGGAGGGAAUUGGCCCUACGAAGCCCUGCAACCUCAUCGAUAAUCGAUAAAGGUGCGAAAUCCAACAAUAGUGGAAGACUAUUGAUAGAUAAAUG
Molecule: non-coding RNA, 111 nt
Filed under: Staphylococcus hyicus
Lineage: Bacteria; Bacillati; Bacillota; Bacilli; Caryophanales; Staphylococcaceae
Description: SAM-I sequence
Rfam family: SAM riboswitch aptamer (S box leader)
About the family: The SAM riboswitch is found upstream of a number of genes which code for proteins involved in methionine or cysteine biosynthesis in Gram-positive bacteria. The SAM riboswitch acts at the level of transcription termination control. The predicted structure consists of a complex stem-loop region followed by a single stem loop terminator region.
Source: RNAcentral